RNAcentral lists this ribosomal RNA (405 nucleotides) under Haemophilus influenzae. RNAcentral's name for it is "bacterial SSU rRNA". It matches the Rfam family "Bacterial small subunit ribosomal RNA", at positions 74 to 472 of the family's 1533-position model. The record is from RNAcentral. Lineage: Bacteria; Pseudomonadati; Pseudomonadota; Gammaproteobacteria; Pasteurellales; Pasteurellaceae.
GAAAGCUUGCUUUCUUGCUGACGAGUGGCGGACGGGUGAGUAAUGCUUGGGAAUCUGGCUUAUGGAGGGGGAUAACGACGGGAAACUGUCGCUAAUACCGCGUAUCAUCGGAAGAUGAAAGUGCGGGACUGAGAGGCCGCAUGCCAUAGGAUGAGCCCAAGUGGGAUUAGGUAGUUGGUGGGGUAAAUGCCUACCAAGCCUGCGAUCUCUAGCUGGUCUGAGAGGAUGACCAGCCACACUGGAACUGAGACACGGUCCAGACUCCUACGGGAGGCAGCAGUGGGGAAUAUUGCGCAAUGGGGGGAACCCUGACGCAGCCAUGCCGCGUGAAUGAAGAAGGCCUUCGGGUUGUAAAGUUCUUUCGGUAUUGAGGAAGGUUGAUGUGUUAAUAGCACAUCAAAUUGA